Molecule: ribosomal RNA, 468 nt
Filed under: uncultured bacterium
Lineage: Bacteria
Description: partial 16S ribosomal RNA
Rfam family: Bacterial small subunit ribosomal RNA
Source: RNAcentral
GACGAACGCUGGCGGCGUGCUUAACACAUGCAAGUCGAACGGAAAGGCCCUGCUUUGGUGGGGUGCUCGAGUGGCGAACGGGUGAGUAACACGUGAGUAACCUGCCCUUGACUUUGGGAUAACUUGAGGAAACUGGGGCUAAUACCGGAUAGGAGCUCCUGGUGCAUGGUGGGGGUUGGAAAGUUUCGGCGGUUGGGGAUGGACUCGCGGCUUAUCAGCUUGUUGGUGGGGUAGUGGCUUACCAAGGCUUUGACGGGUAGCCGGCCUGACAGGGUGACCGGCCACAUUGGGACUGAGAUACGGCCCAGACUCCUACGGGAGGCAGCAGUGGGGAAUAUUGCACAAUGGGCGGAAGCCUGAUGCAGCAACGCCGCGUGCGGGAUGACGGCCUUCGGGUUGUAAACCGCUUUCGCCUGUGGCGAAGCGUGAGUGACGGUAAUGGGUAAAGAAGCACCGGCUAACUACGUG